This 292-nucleotide unclassified non-coding RNA is filed under the name plant metagenome. RNAcentral describes it as "partial contains small subunit ribosomal RNA, internal transcribed spacer 1, and 5.8S ribosomal RNA". The record is from RNAcentral.
UUUCCGUAGGUGAACCUGCGGAAGGAUCAUUAAUGAGUUGUCAUGGGGUUCGAUGCUGGCAGCCAGUUUUUGGAUGCAUGUGCAUGCCCUAACAAUCAUCUUCUUCCAAACACCUGUGCACAUUUUUGAGGGACUCUUGAGUUGGUUGCCGCUCUUGGGUGGUUUUCUCACAUUCCCUUAAAUAAUUAUACGCUAUUAACAAUGUUGAACGUGCUAUGUGCCGCAAGGCCAUUAAUAUAAUACAACUUUUAACAACGGAUCUCUUGGCUCUUGCAGCGGAGGAGGACGCAGC